UUUCUUCCUCGUAUCAUCUCUAAUCCUCGUCAGAGGCGCUGAUGGCGGAGAGCACCACCUUUGCUAUUGACCACCAGAAAAACACCACUAAUCCUCCUUGCUCUCCUCUUCCCAUUCCCACUAUCUCCUUCCCUCGAAUUUCACUAGAGACUCUCGAAUAUCUCAUUGAAGAUUUUCCGGCCAUGACACUGCUUACUCCAAAGGGACCCAAAUUAACACUGUGGCACUGCCUGAGCAUCCUCUCUACAACCCCCAUAACCACUUGUUUGGAAGAUGGGUGGAAUUGUUCGAAUUUAAUUUGAAAGUUUUCCGGCGAACUCUCGUUUCAUCAAACUUCCCAAAUGGGUGCAUGAGACUGUCCCCGCUUUCUUCAGGAUAUUUCUGCCAUUGGCAGGGCUCAAAUGAAAACAGGAUUGCUCAAAUUGCGAGCUAUGUUUUAGCAGACCUCAAGCCCAUUAGUGAGUUCUCGAAUGAUUUCAUUCUCUUCUGUUUAUUCCCAUUCUCAUCUAGGUUAAUUGCCAGUUGUAAUUUGCAUGUCUAUUAUUUUUUUCCAUCUUGUGUUCUAAGUCUUCUGGUUGUUCGUCUGACGUACCUGGGUUUGUUUGAUCAUAGAUAAAUGGUUAUUUUUAGUUUAUGUAAAUAUCCCUUUUAAAUUCUGGUUCUGCAUACUGUAGUCAAUAUUUGCUGUUUGAUUUUGUUUCAUUUAGACUGAGUUCAGGAUAUUUUUUCUUUAGUUUAGUGUAAUGUUUGUAUUAUCUUCUUGUUAUAAUUAUUUUACUUUCCAUGUAAUUGAGUUGUAAAUUGUUUUGUUUGGUAGUUUAAUUUGGUUUGGGGUUUGAUUUGAUUUAACUAGGGAUUUUUAAGUUUUGCAAUUAAUAUGUUCUGGAUAAUUAGAGGGGAGUAAUUUCAGGGAAGGGGUAAGGGUAGAAUAAGGAAUACACAUGAGGAAUCUAACUAGAAUUCCAUGGAAGUUUCUAGGAAUGGGGGUUGAAGUACAUUUCAGGGAAUAUGAAGGGAUAAGAGUUAAAAUAAAUAAGGGACUAGAAGGAAAUAAUAUUCUUCUUGUUUGCCUAUAAAUAGGCAUCAUAAUAGCCUUGUGGAGGGGGGCGGGGCCCGGGGGGGGUCUCUUUUCAGCCAUCUAAAUUCCCCAAAUACUCUCUCUCUUUAAUCGGUACAGAUCUGAAGUAAGAAGAAAUUCAAAAAAAAAAAAAAAAUUGAUUACUGUUUCAUUCGUUUUUAGUUCAAAAUUCAAGCUCUGAACUUCAAAAGAUUUCUAGAUCGAUUUUGAGUGAAUUUGGGUCUUAACGAGUGGAUUGUGGUAUACUUUGGAUUGCUAAAGGUUUAAAAGAUGUGCUGGUCUGUUUUUUAGUCAAUUUGGUUGAUUUUUGGCUUUCAUUUGGAUUUAAACAUUUAUGGGCUGCUUAAUCUAUUUCCUAAGCUGUGUUGAGUAUUAAAUUGCUGAUGCUCAUCCGGCUCUACUGCUGAUCUCUCGUGUUUCUUAAUUUCAUAUCCCAGAUACAUUUUUCUUAACCCAGGUGAUCUGGAAACUUGAAUCAAUUUGUAUGAGUCAGCUUUGGGAAUAAAUGAAGAAGAAUUGCAUAGUUUUCCUAUGAGUUUUCCUUAUAAUCGCCAUUAGCUUCAAUACUUAGCUAUGAUACUAAUUUGAACAAAUAGCUAUUUGUAUUAAUUAGGACUCUAAGGAUUGUUAUGAACUAUAUUGACCGAGACUGUUUAGCUUUAGUAAAGUAGUGACGUAUGAAUUCGAAUUAAACAGGUUGGGGAUGAUUGGCAGUUUAACCUGUAGACUGGUGAAGUGUGUUAUGAUUCUGUUUAUAAAGUUUUAAUAGUGUUGAAAUUAGAAAGAUAAUUUUGAAGCAGAAAUGAUAUGAUGGUCAGGACAUAGACCUUUUGUUCAAGUCUAAUAAGAUAACAUUUAAUAGCAAGUUUAGUAAUUAACUUCAAAAUCACUUUACGCCUCGCAUUAAGUUGCACUUUGUUUCCCGUUUGAUUGGUAGUUAAUAAUAUUUGGGAAAUUACUAGUGUAGACAAAUAGAGAAAAAGAACAAAAGGAAUACG
This 2076-nucleotide long non-coding RNA is filed under the name Nicotiana benthamiana. RNAcentral describes it as "long non-coding RNA (NBEN_LNC019091)". The record is from RNAcentral. Lineage: Eukaryota; Viridiplantae; Streptophyta; Magnoliopsida; Solanales; Solanaceae.